GGCAGCACGGGGCAACCUGGUGGCGAGUGGCGAACGGGUGAGUAAUAUAUCGGAACGUACCCAAGAGUGGGGGAUAACGUAGCGAAAGUUACGCUAAUACCGCAUACGAUCUAAGGAUGAAAGUGGGGGAUCGCAAGACCUCAUGCUCCUGGAGCGGCCGAUAUCUGAUUAGCUAGUUGGUGAGGUAAAGGCUCACCAAGGCGACGAUCAGUAGCUGGUCUGAGAGGACGACCAGCCACACUGGAACUGAGACACGGUCCAGACUCCUACGGGAGGCAGCAGUGGGGAAUUUUGGACAAUGGGCGCAAGCCUGAUCCAGCAAUGCCGCGUGAGUGAAGAAGGCCUUCGGGUUGUAAAGCUCUUUUGUCAGGGAAGAAACGGUGAGGGCUAAUAUCCUUUGCUAAUGACGGUACCUGAAGAAUAAGCACCGGCUAACUACGUGCCAGCAGCCGCGGUAAUACGUAGGGUGCAAGCGUUAAUCGGAAUUACUGGGCGUAAAGCGUGCGCAGGCGGUUUCGUAAGUCUGUCGUGAAAUCCCCGGGCUCAACCUGGGAAUUGCGAUGGAGACUGCAAGGCUAGAAUCUGGCAGAGGGGGGUAGAAUUCCACGUGUAGCAGUGAAAUGCGUAGAGAUGUGGAGGAACACCGAUGGCGAAGGCAGCCCCCUGGGUCAAGAUUGACGCUCAUGCACGAAAGCGUGGGGAGCAAACAGGAUUAGAUACCCUGGUAGUCCACGCCCUAAACGAUGUCUACUAGUUGUCGGGUCUUAAUUGACUUGGUAACGCAGCUAACGCGUGAAGUAGACCGCCUGGGGAGUACGGUCGCAAGAUUAAAACUCAAAGGAAUUGAC
Molecule: ribosomal RNA, 848 nt
Filed under: uncultured bacterium
Lineage: Bacteria
Description: bacterial SSU rRNA
Rfam family: Bacterial small subunit ribosomal RNA
Source: RNAcentral